Long non-coding RNA from Tympanuchus pallidicinctus (lesser prairie-chicken), 802 nucleotides. RefSeq lists it as uncharacterized. The transcript has 2 exons. Lineage: Eukaryota; Metazoa; Chordata; Aves; Galliformes; Phasianidae. The record is from RefSeq and is a predicted model, not a curated record.
CAGCCCUGCAUGAGGAGAAUGGCUGGCGCUCCUGCCACAGCACCACAGCGUUGAGGCUGCCCAUAGAGGUGACCAGCAGCACCGUGGCCGCUGUGGCUGAGGCUGUGGAACCCUCUGGAAGCACCCGGCGCUCAGCCUGGGGUGGAGACUGUAGGAGGGAUGUCUGCCAGCGCCGGGCUGGGCAGCAGGCAGUGCGUGGGGAGGAGGAAGUGUUGCGUGGCUCCCACUGCGCUGUGUGAGGCCCUUUGGUGUGUGACGGCACACUGCUGCAGGACUGCACUGCAAGCACUGGGAACUUUCAAAAUGAUUCUGUUUCUAAGCAAAAGUAUUCAUAUGGAUGUUCAUCAGUUUCUGAGAAUUUCAGAUCUAUGAGAUCCACAGUAUAAAAUUAAGAUCUAUUUCCUGAAAGCUUGACUCAAUUAUUUCACGACUGUUCUUUUAAAAGACUGCAAAGCCAUUUAGGAAUAGUCAUCCUUCACUAGGCGGGUAUGCUGCCUAAGGACGCUCCAGAGAAAGCACUGCUUUCCUUUGCAGGAAGACUGGGAAAGCCCUGCAGUCCUGGGCAGGGAGCACAGCACAGGGCUGGAGCUGAGCAGAGCAUCGCCUUGGCUGAGAGCUCUCAUGGCUCAGGGCUGCACCCAUCGGGUCACGGACGGAGCUCCAGGGCUGUUCAGAGAUGGAGGGAUGCUGAAAGGCUGAGAAAUACUGUGUAGAUACACAGCUGGGAAACAAUCGUGCUCUGAUGAAUGAGCAAAACAACUAAUUAACUACUAAUUAAAGAUGAACUUGUUGGCACCUUGUA